Molecule: ribosomal RNA, 405 nt
Filed under: Sesarmoides longipes
Lineage: Eukaryota; Metazoa; Arthropoda; Malacostraca; Decapoda; Sesarmidae
Description: partial 12S ribosomal RNA
Source: RNAcentral
UUAGAAGAAAAUAUUAAAAGCUAGAUUAGUAGUAGAUAAGUACUUAAAAAUUAAAAAAUUUGGCGGUAAUUUAAUCUUUUCAGAGGAAUUUGUUUUUUAAUCGAUAAACCACGAAAAAUCUUACUUAUUUUUGUUAAAAUUCAAGUUUGUAUACCAUCAUUAACAGGAAUUCUUAAAAGAAAAAUUACUAAAUAUAAAUUAUUAUAAAAAUUAGAUCAUGGUGCAGCUUAUAAAUAAGAUAAAAUGAAUUACAAUAAAUUAUUUUAGAUGGAUUAAUAAUGUAAGGAUUAUUAUGAAAGAGGAUUUGAUUGUAUUAUAAGUUUAAUAAGCUUAUAAGAUAUAAGUUCUAAAUUAUGUACAUAUCGCCCGUCGCUUUCGUUUAUAAACGAAAUAAGUCGUAACAUA